RNAcentral lists this transfer RNA (85 nucleotides) under Rossellomorea marisflavi. Its description in RNAcentral is "Bacillus marisflavi tRNA-Leu". It matches the Rfam family "tRNA". From Rfam's summary of the family: Transfer RNA (tRNA) molecules are approximately 80 nucleotides in length. Their secondary structure includes four short double-helical elements and three loops (D, anti-codon, and T loops). Further hydrogen bonds mediate the characteristic L-shaped molecular structure. tRNAs have two regions of fundamental functional importance: the anti-codon, which is responsible for specific mRNA codon recognition, and the 3' end, to which the tRNAs corresponding amino acid is attached (by aminoacyl-tRNA synthetases). tRNAs cope with the degeneracy of the genetic code in two manners: having more than one tRNA (with a specific anti-codon) for a particular amino acid; and 'wobble' base-pairing, i.e. permitting non-standard base-pairing at the 3rd anti-codon position. The record is from RNAcentral. Lineage: Bacteria; Bacillati; Bacillota; Bacilli; Caryophanales; Bacillaceae. RNAcentral also lists the same sequence under 5 other names.
GCCGGUGUGGCGGAAUAGGCAGACGCGCACGACUCAAAAUCGUGUUCCGUAAGGAGUGCCGGUUCGACCCCGGCCACCGGUACCA